CUCGCGCCCCAGGGGCCGCCCCCCGACACUCCAGUGCGACUCUGCGUGCACAGGCCAGAGGCUCAGAACCAGCGCCGGGCUGCCCUGCUCGGCCUCCUGGGCGCAGCGGCGUUUGCCCGUGCACGUGCCCUCGCAUCGCGCGCUCCGGGGCCGGGCUCCGGGCGGUUCUCGCCGCUGCAGUUCCACCGGGACUUCCGCGCUUCGGCGGCCUGUCUGACGAGCCGCCGCGCCCAGAGAGGUUCAGGUUGGAGCGACACUUCCCAGAGGGCAGCGGUCACGCCAGAUCUUUGGCUUCCAUUCCGUUUUCGCGCGCUUCUCCCACUUUGCAAGGUGAGUUGAGCUCAUUUGUGGAUGUGUUAGCACAGGAUGCGGGAAUCCUGUGAAGCGAGUCAAUUCGGAGCCCGACGUGAACCAGGUAAAGUAAACCCUGAAUAGGAAUAGAUGCAUUGAAGGCCACUAGGGAGAUUCAGAUAAUGUGACUUGGUGUUUGAUAAGGCAGUGAUGUCAUUCUGACUGCAGCCACCACUGUCGGGUUGCGAUCAAACUAUGAUGACCUAUGAGAGCACCAUGAUG
RNAcentral lists this long non-coding RNA (573 nucleotides) under Equus asinus (donkey). RNAcentral's name for it is "lncRNA (ENSEASG00005027250.1)". The record is from RNAcentral. Lineage: Eukaryota; Metazoa; Chordata; Mammalia; Perissodactyla; Equidae.